RNAcentral lists this ribosomal RNA (707 nucleotides) under uncultured archaeon. Its description in RNAcentral is "bacterial SSU rRNA". It matches the Rfam family "Archaeal small subunit ribosomal RNA", at positions 211 to 921 of the family's 1478-position model. The record is from RNAcentral.
GGGCCUGCGGCGUAUCAGGUCGUAGGGGGUGUAAAGUACCCUCUAGCCUUCAACGCGUACGGGUUGUGGGAGCAAUCGCCCGGAGAUGGAUUCUGAGACACGAAUCCAGACCCUACGGGGUGCAGCAGGCGCGAAAACUUCACACUGCAGGAAACUGUGAUGAGGGAAUUCCAAGUGGUAUGACAAAGUCAUAUCUUUUACCAACUUUUAAUCGGUUGGUGAAUAAGGGGUGGGAAAGACCGGUGCCAGCCGCCGCGGUAAUACCGGCACCCCAAGUGGUCGUCGCUUUUAUUGGGCCUAAAACGUCCGUCGCCUGUUUGGUACAUUCGUGGGUAAAUCAACCAGCUUAACUGGUUGAAUUCUGCGAGGACGGCCAGACUAGGGACCGGGAGAGGUAUGGGGUACUCUCAGGGUAGGGGUAAAAUCCAGUCAUCCUGAGGGGACCACCUGUUGCGAAGGCGCCAUACUAGAACGGAUCCGACGGUCAGGGACGAAGCCUAGGGGCACGAACCGGAUUAGAUACCCGGGUAGUCCUAGGUGUAAACGCUGUGGACUUGGUGUUGGGGACUCCACGAGUGUCCCCAGUGCCGGAGUGAAGAUGUUAAGUCCACUGCCUGGGGAGUACGGUCGCAAGGCUGAAACUUAAAGGAAUUGGCGGGGGAGCACAGCAACGAGAGGAGCGUGCGGUUUAAUUGGAUCAACGCCGG